RNAcentral lists this ribosomal RNA (252 nucleotides) under uncultured bacterium. RNAcentral's name for it is "partial 16S ribosomal RNA". It matches the Rfam family "Bacterial small subunit ribosomal RNA", at positions 524 to 776 of the family's 1533-position model. The record is from RNAcentral.
UACGUAGGGAGCGAGCGUUAUCCGGAAUUAUUGGGCGUAAAGGGUGCGUAGAUGGCAUAGUAAGUCUUUUGUAAAAAUGCUGGGCUCAACCCAGUAGGGCAAAAGAUACUGCAAAGCUAGAGUAUGACAGAGGCAAGUGGAACUAGAUGUGUAGCGGUAAAAUGCGUAAAUAUAUGUAAGAACACCAGUGGCGAAGGCGGCUUGCUGGGUCGAUACUGACAUUGAGGCACGAAAGCGUGGGGAGCAAACAGG